UGAGGGAGCGGAGGCACAAAAUGGCGGUCUUGGGCUGGCUGUGAGGUUUGGUGUGCCAGGCAAGCAGCCGGAAUGAGGCCUGUAAGGCUGGCUCAAGGCAGAGUGUGAGCAUGUGAAUUCACGUGAAGGUAGUACAUGUGUGCAGGUUUGUUUUCCAUGGGUGUGGAGCUCAACACUGCCUUGGGUGUGACCUCUCCUGCCUGUGCUCAUGGUGUUUAACCUAAACCUCUUAAGAGCUAAGAAGCUCUUGGUGUUGUGUGAACUGGACUGCUUGGAGGGAUACCAUACGGCACUCCCAGUCACUGUUAUCCAGGUCUUAAACGGCUGUAGGAAGUGUUUCCAAAGCUGCCACGAGAUUCUGAUCUGUAGUUUAACUUUGGUUUUUCAGAGAGACCGUAGGUUAAAGUGACUCCUGCCCCUGGCUAGCACAAAAGGCAGGAACGGGAAGGUGCUGGUGCCAUGAGGCCUACAGGGUUGCCCUGAGUUCAUGUUGAAUUUGUUCUUAGUGUGAUGUCAAGGAAUGCGAGCAGCUAUUUGAGUGUCACGCAAGCAGAGGAUAUCACCCAGAAGACUGAGCAGAGAUUUGGACUGUUGAAUCCAAGCUACAGGAUACAUCCCACAGUGCUGUGGGUCUGGAGCUAAACAGAGACAGGAAAUGAAUCCAGCCUUGGCCCCCUCUGCCCACGCUGGGUGAAGGGCUCCAGGCGCCUCUGAUGAUGCUGCAUCAAAGAUUUUCCACAUGGGCUGGCAGCUAACUCAAAGAAGAAGCUUUACCAGUCUGUGCAUGUAACGAAUGUGCUGACACCCCCUUGUCCUUUCUGUGCUCUCUUACUCCUCUUGUUAGAAAAUGAAUGCCAGAUUUUGAACAGUUCGAGAGCUGAAACUGAAUCUGAAGUUUACAAAUGGCUCUAGGUUGGUAUUUCCAAAGGAACAGUGUGGUGGUAAAAUUACUUGGAGUAUUCUCUGGCAACAUGAAGUUAUUAGGUAGCCAGCUUCCACUAAAUAUCAGGAGAUUUUAUUUUUUCCUGUGUGGUUCUGCUUCUUUAUCCUUUCUUUAUCAGGACAAACCAAAUUUUAUUUUAAGAGAGAGCGCAUUCAGUGUCUGGAGCAAUAGGUUGGGUUUUGACAAUAGGUUUCCAAACCCUGACCCACCACAUCCUUCUUGUAAGAACUUGUGUAGGACAAUCAAAAUUCUUUGAUUCAAAAUGUUUUGAUAUCCCUCUUAAAGAGAUCAUAUUAAGUCUUUAUUUUGUAAGAGAUAUUGGGAGUAUUAGAGUUGAAACUGUUCCUACAGGGUAAUGAGGGGACUAUGUAUGCAGCUGAAGUGUGGUUGAGAACUCACAGUCAUUGGGCUCAGUGGGACUCAGAUCUGCUGCUCAUGUUUGGAG
Molecule: long non-coding RNA, 1388 nt
Organism: Oxyura jamaicensis (ruddy duck)
Lineage: Eukaryota; Metazoa; Chordata; Aves; Anseriformes; Anatidae
Exons: 4
Source: RefSeq, a predicted model, not a curated record